UACGGGGGGGGCAAGCGUUGUUCGGAUUCACUGGGCGUAAAGGGUGCGUAGGUGGUCGGGUAAGUCUGAUGUGAAAUCUCUGGGCUCAACCCAGAAAUGGCAUUGGAUACUAUUCGGCUAGAGGAGUGGAGGGGGGACUGGAAUACUUGGUGUAGCAGUGAAAUGCGUAGAUAUCAAGUGGAACACCAGUGGCGAAGGCGAGUCCCUGGACACUUCCUGACACUGAGGCACGAAAGCUAGGGGAGCAAACAGG
Molecule: ribosomal RNA, 253 nt
Filed under: uncultured bacterium
Lineage: Bacteria
Description: partial 16S ribosomal RNA
Rfam family: Bacterial small subunit ribosomal RNA
Source: RNAcentral